This 294-nucleotide ribosomal RNA is filed under the name uncultured Rikenellaceae bacterium. Its description in RNAcentral is "partial 16S ribosomal RNA". It matches the Rfam family "Bacterial small subunit ribosomal RNA", at positions 1091 to 1382 of the family's 1533-position model. Lineage: Bacteria; Pseudomonadati; Bacteroidota; Bacteroidia; Bacteroidales; Rikenellaceae. The record is from RNAcentral.
AACGAGCGCAACCCCUACUGUCUAGUUGCCAGCGGGUCAUGCCGGGGACUCUAGCGGAACUGCCAGCGUAAGCUGCGAGGAAGGUGGGGAUGACGUCAAAUCAGCACGGCCCUUACGUCCAGGGCUACACACGUGUUACAAUGGCCGGUACAGAGGGCAGCCACCCCGCGAGGGGCGCGAAUCCCGAAAGCCGGUCCCAGUUCGGAUCGGAGUCUGCAACCCGACUCCGUUGAAGCUGGAUUCGCUAGUAAUCGCGCAAUCAGCCACGGCGCGGUGAAUACGUUCCCGGGCCUU